GGGCCUGUAGUCUAACGGUAGGACGCCGCUCUCACACAGCGGAGAAAGGAGUUCAAUUCUCCUCAGGCCCA
The sequence is a transfer RNA, 71 nucleotides long. It matches the Rfam family "tRNA". From Rfam's summary of the family: Transfer RNA (tRNA) molecules are approximately 80 nucleotides in length. Their secondary structure includes four short double-helical elements and three loops (D, anti-codon, and T loops). Further hydrogen bonds mediate the characteristic L-shaped molecular structure. tRNAs have two regions of fundamental functional importance: the anti-codon, which is responsible for specific mRNA codon recognition, and the 3' end, to which the tRNAs corresponding amino acid is attached (by aminoacyl-tRNA synthetases). tRNAs cope with the degeneracy of the genetic code in two manners: having more than one tRNA (with a specific anti-codon) for a particular amino acid; and 'wobble' base-pairing, i.e. permitting non-standard base-pairing at the 3rd anti-codon position.